Long non-coding RNA from Nothoprocta perdicaria, 286 nucleotides. RefSeq lists it as uncharacterized. The transcript has 3 exons. The record is from RefSeq and is a predicted model, not a curated record. NCBI's taxonomy places the organism in Eukaryota, Metazoa, Chordata, Aves, Tinamiformes, Tinamidae.
CACAGAUAAGAGCAGAGACGAAUCUACUGACACCAUGUAGCAGGGAGAAAAUGGAGAUGAAACAUUGGUGUAGUUGAAGACUGAACCUGUAGUGUGGAGUGUUAGUCAACUGUAAACUGUAGAAGAUCUGUGCAUUUUACACAAAUUGAAUACAGAAGWGAAGGAGGCAGAGCCUGCAUCAUUCCAGCUCUGAUAAUGUGCACGGUCUUCGGAAUUCCUGUCCCCGUUCGUGGAGCCAUUUAUUGGAUACUGCAAAAACAGAGGAACCGAUGCAGUUCAAGACUCC